GGAUUGUGGCUCAGUGGUAGAGGGCUUGCCUAACAUGUGCAAGGCCCUGGGUUCGAUCCUCAGCACCA
This 68-nucleotide transfer RNA is filed under the name Marmota monax (woodchuck). Its description in RNAcentral is "tRNA.Val". Lineage: Eukaryota; Metazoa; Chordata; Mammalia; Rodentia; Sciuridae. The record is from RNAcentral.